GGAGAGAUGCUCGAGUGGUUGAAGAGGCAUGACUGGAAAUCGUGUGUGCGUUAACACGCAUCGAGGGUUCGAAUCCCUCUCUCUCCA
RNAcentral lists this transfer RNA (87 nucleotides) under Coxiella-like endosymbiont. RNAcentral describes it as "tRNA-Ser". It matches the Rfam family "tRNA". From Rfam's summary of the family: Transfer RNA (tRNA) molecules are approximately 80 nucleotides in length. Their secondary structure includes four short double-helical elements and three loops (D, anti-codon, and T loops). Further hydrogen bonds mediate the characteristic L-shaped molecular structure. tRNAs have two regions of fundamental functional importance: the anti-codon, which is responsible for specific mRNA codon recognition, and the 3' end, to which the tRNAs corresponding amino acid is attached (by aminoacyl-tRNA synthetases). tRNAs cope with the degeneracy of the genetic code in two manners: having more than one tRNA (with a specific anti-codon) for a particular amino acid; and 'wobble' base-pairing, i.e. permitting non-standard base-pairing at the 3rd anti-codon position. Lineage: Bacteria; Pseudomonadati; Pseudomonadota; Gammaproteobacteria; Legionellales; Coxiellaceae. The record is from RNAcentral.